CACUUUUUUUGGUUCAUGAGCAUGAUGAUUGGGUGUUCAUGCCUGUGCGUGACAUGUGCCGCCCUCAAAUCUUGUUACGACGUGGGCACAUUACCCUUCUGACA
This is a small nucleolar RNA of Castor canadensis (American beaver), 104 nucleotides long. Lineage: Eukaryota; Metazoa; Chordata; Mammalia; Rodentia; Castoridae. The record is from Ensembl.